CGUAGGGCGGCAGUUCCAGAGCCGGAGGGACGGUUAGGCCCCGCCAGAGGGAGCCGGAGACCGCCGGCCCGCGGCUGAGCUUUUGACCUGGAAUUUGCCACAGUGCUGAUCUGCUGCCUUUCUGAAGGUGAAGGUUGGGUUUGUCAUCUCUGGAAUUAAUAACACCUGUGUGAGUGAGACUGUCCUGUGAGUUUCCUACUCCUGUUGCAGCUCUGGGAAGACCAGCUUCCACAUCCUCAAGCAGAUUUGUGUGCACACGGCAUGUGAAAAUACCUGUUUGGAACUAUGAUCGUUGGCAAAACCUGAGGCUGGAAAUCAAAACCAGAGAAUCAUAAGUGAGCAGAGGACUUGAAGACAACUACAGAAUUCACAAGUAAUUGCUGCUUAACUGACAAGUACUUUCAUUUAUAUAAACAUGGAGGGUAACAAAGGAGAAGCUCUGCAUGCAGCCAGAAUGAAGGUAACACCUCUGGCUAUCACGCACACCAGGCGGACUAGCCAAAGAAGCAUGACUUAAGUCUGAUGCAGGCUGCUCAGUUUAAACACUUCUAGCCAGCCAGCAUUUUAAACUUUAAUGCAGACAAGAACAGUUGUGUUCAUCAACAGAUGGUAACUUAAUAUUUAGCUUAUUCCUGAAGCUCAUCAUCUUCAGCUCAUGCUGCUGCAAACUGCAGUAUGCUGCAGCUGGUCUCCAGAAACAGGUCUGCUUAAAGCUUAGAGGAAUCUGAAGUAAAUGUAGUGUAGUUUGAAUGCUGCAGAAGAAAAAAAAAAAGUAAAAGGCAAGCUAUUGCUGGAGUUAAGAAUAAAUUCCAAAUUCAGCUUAUCUAGCAAAGGGCUCAGACAUUCUCUUCUGCUUCAUCCAAGAAAGUCUUGCACUUGCUCCUUGGAAAAUUAGAGAUGAGAUGAAGCAUUUCAGGAAUGCUUCAACAAUGAACCUUUUUGUUUUUAAUGCAGAAAUGCUGAUCAUGCAGACUUUCAGAUGAUAAAAUGCCAUAGCUUCUUUGUUUGAAAGGAUUGCUUCUUUACUUCAAACAGACCCUAAAUACUUUAAGAGGAAUACAAAGAUUUCAAGUGUUUUGAGAACCCAGAAGAGAUGUCCUGGUGCUGCAUUUCAGAUAGAGAGGAAUGCUUUGCUUUCACGGAAACCAAUGUGUUUCACAUUCUAGUCAGUGUGGUCGCUGUGCUACCUGAGCACAGCUGCGGCGGGGAAGGAAGGAGUCUUCUGUAACUCGAAAAAGAAUAAAAGGGAUGAAGCAACCAGGAAACAGUGAGCACCAUCUUCUGUUCUCUUGUGUAAAGGGAGAGGCAAUGGAUGAGAAUCGAUCUCUGUACUUUUUAUUCUCAUUACUUACCCAGUCACUGCGCUGAGCUGUGAGUUAUUAACUCGGCAUCCUAUUGCAUGUCACAAGCUCUGCACAACCAAAGCACAAAGCAGUAGUCUGCUUACAGUUAAACCACUGCCAUGAAUGCUUGCUAUUAUCUGAAGAACAAAAGCCUCUUGUUAGAGGGUACAGUCACUUUUAAAUUCAAUUUGUAAUUUCAGUGAUCUUUUCCUGUCUCUUCAGAUGCACAUACUGAAUUUGAAAUUGUUUACUGUUAGUCUUAUAAGGUUCUGCUCACUUUUCUUUCUAAGAAAAUAGGAGUGUAUUGCAAAACAGGAACGUCCUGUAGCAAAAUAUCCCUUAUCCGUGUUUCAUUGCUUCAUGUAUAAUGUCUGUUUCAGAAUUGACACAGUAGAAUUCUAAACAGCUGUAUUCACAAAGACUGAACAAAGCAGUUUUCUGUAGUAUCAAGUUAAGAAAAUUGGUACUGUUUGGCAAGUAAUCAUUUGCCUCUUUACACUGCAUGCUCUGAGCUGACUUGAAGGAGGUGGUGAUCAGUACGCACUAGUCAAUGUGCAGCCUCUGCCUCCUGCUGUCAUGCCUUCUUUCCUCCUGCAUCAACUUCACAUUGCAGGAUGAAGCACAGAGAGUUUAUUGGAAGCUGUGUAUGAACAAUAUAAUAAAACUAUGAUUUGGACUAUGGUGGUUUUUUUCCCUUUAAAGGUUUCAGAAAUAGCCUAACAUCCAGAACAAUGAAAUAAUGUCUGCAUUAAGCUGCAGCUAGUGACAAAACAGCCUGUGGCUGCAGUAAAAAGCACAAGGAGGUUACCACUUUUACAGCCCAACAUCCAGAUUUCAUUCUACUUAAAAUAAGGUAUGGGGGCUUCCAAAGGAACAAAGCUGGUGCCUUCUUUUCUGUGCGUACUGAGAACCCAAGAAGAAACACACUCAAGCUGAACUACUUGACCAGCUGCACACACUGACGCCUCAAUGAAAAGGAGAAAUGAAUAAAGAGAAGGAGACAGAAACCCGUACCCUUGUGACUGCUGGCUUCAAGAACUGUUAUUUAAGAGUGGCUCUUCGCAGCACCAUUACAGUUUGUUUUCUUUGAAAAGCUGCUACCCACUGCUGCACAAGUUCACCACGUAAAACAUGCACUGUGAAUAUUGUUCAAGUUCAGUCUUAUUCACUCUCUUUUCCAGUGUGGUCCUUCAUGAAGUACACACAGAGGCACUCUCAUGUAAAGUUACGAGCUGCUCACACUAGAACUGUACCUUCAUAGAGCAGUUUUGCCACAGCAGCUUUUGUGCUGAGCCGCUGCUUAAUGCUUAUGUUACUUUUGUUUCGUGAGGAGUAUUAUAGUCAGGUACUUGAGUGAUGAAAUAAACAUCUGGUGCCAGUAAACACAGUUCAUUUUAAAUAGCGUUGUCUAAAAACAUUUCUGUUUGUUUUCUACGUUUCAAAGUACCCGGGAGCAUGCAACAUUAUUUCCAGCACAAAUUGGCUACCAGCUCAUUGUGACAUUAAGGGAUCACUUCAUUUAGACCCUCUCUUUGCUGCUCUGCUGACAGCUGACUGCAGUAACUACCACAUGACAAGGAGAUUAUCAAUUCAUUUGUCUGGGCACUUCUGACUGUGUGCAUCAUGCAGGCAACACACACGGGUGCUGUCAUUGCGCUGGUACAGUUCUUAAGGCUCUGGUAUAAAAGCUCUAUUUCUAAUGACACCAUUAAUAUCAGUUUUCUUGGUGAGUUUUUGUUCUGAUACAGUCACUGUAAGUUAAAAAAUACGUUCUUACAGCGCAGAGAUUUUCAAACAGGUUGUAGCGGACUCACAGAAGGAACUGCAAUGACUGCAACAUGAACGGUGCAACACAAUGAGUUGAAUAUAAACAGGCUGUUGUAUUCAAGAGGCCAAUGGCUUGCGGAUGUGCCAAAAGAAGAAAGUCAUUCAAGAUUUGAAUCUAUUCAUCCCGUUCCACGGGGAGAUAUAAGUAGUCAGUAUUACUUCUGGACCGCUGUAGUUGCACCAGGGCUCUUUUAGGGUGCUGCCUGUGCACUACUGAAGAGAAGCUCAAGUUCUCUCAUUUAACAGCCACAUCACUUCUCAUUCAACACCCGAAACCGAUUCAAAACAGAGAUCAGGUGUAAUUCAGGACAGGCUCUGUUGUCACAACCAAAACUGUCACAAGGCAAUUCUUAUUUUUCUUCAGAGCCUCAGUUUGCACCCAGCUGUAGGUUUGACACAUGAAAACAGGGAAGAGCUGUAUUACCCAACUUACCUUUACUGUAACACAGCCAUGCUGUUCAAGAAUCACACACAGUUUGCUAACUGAAAGUACCACAAUCAUUUUUGAGGAAUUAACAGGUGUGCACGCUCCAGAAAUGAGGCACAAUUGCAAUUCCAAACAAUGUUCAAAGUUGUUUUAAAUAAACACCUUGCUGUUCUCUCUU
Lagopus leucura (white-tailed ptarmigan) is the source of this 3775-nucleotide long non-coding RNA. RefSeq lists it as uncharacterized. Lineage: Eukaryota; Metazoa; Chordata; Aves; Galliformes; Phasianidae. The transcript has 4 exons. The record is from RefSeq and is a predicted model, not a curated record.